This 218-nucleotide ribosomal RNA is filed under the name uncultured bacterium. RNAcentral describes it as "partial 16S ribosomal RNA". It matches the Rfam family "Bacterial small subunit ribosomal RNA", at positions 328 to 539 of the family's 1533-position model. The record is from RNAcentral.
ACGCUCGACACCUACGGGAGGCAGCAGUGAGGAAUAUUGGUCAAUGGACGCAAGUCUGAACCAGCCAUGCCGCGUGCAGGAUGACGGCUCUAUGAGUUGUAAACUGCUUUUGUACGAGGGUAAACGCAGAUACGUGUAUCUGUCUGAAAGUAUCGUACGAAUAAGGAUCGGCUAACUCCGUGCCGGCAGCCGCGGUAAUCUGAGCGGGCUGGCAAGGC